UGUCCCCUUUGUUCUUGUACAAGGGCACCACUGUACUCCACCUCCACUCCUCCGGCAUCCUUUUAGUCCUGAAGAUUGCAUUGAACAGCCUAGAGAGUCACUCCCCUCCAGCUUUACACAUGCACUUCCAGAGCUCCACCGGGAUCUCGUCAGGCCCGGUCGCUCGACCCCUACUCAUCCUACGCAACGCCCCUAAGACCUCCUUCACCCUUAUGCGUCUU
This 221-nucleotide long non-coding RNA is filed under the name Nicotiana benthamiana. RNAcentral's name for it is "long non-coding RNA (NBEN_LNC029205)". The record is from RNAcentral. Lineage: Eukaryota; Viridiplantae; Streptophyta; Magnoliopsida; Solanales; Solanaceae.